Non-coding RNA from Vicugna pacos (alpaca), 299 nucleotides. NCBI's taxonomy places the organism in Eukaryota, Metazoa, Chordata, Mammalia, Artiodactyla, Camelidae. The record is from RefSeq and is a predicted model, not a curated record.
AAUGGAGUUAGGUGUUUUGAAGUUAAUUCUUUGUUGAAAUCUGCACAGGACGUCCGAGAUUCAACUACCGAGCCAUGUUGAUCAUUUAUCUGGAGCUGCAGGUCUAGGGGAAAAAAAUACAUCAAGUGGACAAAUAGAAAAUUUCAAUAUUGAAAACUCAGUAUACAUUCUUUCUUGCAUGAGUGGAUCAAGAAACUUUGAUGGCUAGAGGAUCCAAGAAAUAUUCUGCUGAAAAAUAUCCUCACCUGAAGCCUGCAGUUGGAGUGAAAGAUUCUGUUCCUAAAAAAACAGGAGAAAUG